GGAGCUGGGCUGACCCGGAGGGGGCUCUGGGCUGGCUCCGGCCGGCCACUGGAGGAGUUGGAGCAAGGUCUCUUGUUCUUCUGCGUGUCUCCUUUGGCCUUUAUCACACAGGCCUUGGGUCAAAGUGCACCCUGUUCCGCUGAUCCGUAUGGGCCGGGCACAGUCGUGGACACCUGCCAGCAUGCCACAGAGAGAAUGGAGGUGUGGUUCCCCACGAGUCAGGCUCCGCGGGCGGUUCCACCGGUGACCAGCAGCAGGGACCCGCUUUCUCUCCCUCGCGGUCAAAAUAGUGAUUCUGAACGUCACAGGCAUGGGAGCCACUGGGGAGCUCGUCGGGAAUGCACUUUUCUGGGGGCGCCUGGGUGGCUCAGUCAGUUCAGUGUCUGACUUCGGUUCAGGUCACAAUCUUGCCAUUCCAAGUUCGAGCCCCACAUGGGGUUCUGUGCUGACAGCUCAGAGCCUGGAGCCUGCUUCGGAUUCUGUGUGUCUCUCUCUCUCUGCCCCUCCCGUGCUCACGCUCUCUCUCUCUCUCUCUGUCUCUCAAAAAUAAAUAAGCCUCAAAAAAAUUCAGAAAUGCACAUUUCCAAGCUAUACUCCCCAGACUUUCUGAUUUGGCAGGUUUGGGGGACCUCCUAGGAAGUCCCCAGUUUUGGCAAUCAUCUCAGGAGGCCUCCGCGGGGCUAGGAAUGGAAAGUCACUCAGCUUUGCCGCUUGGCUGCAGAGAAUUCUUCUUUGCGUGAGCCACUUGUUUCACCAGGAGGCGUUGUUUCCAUGUCCAUUGCUGCCCGAGAGCCCAGGGGGGACAGACGAAGCACAAAUCUCUCAGGGCAGAGCCUCGAAGCCCACGGUUUCUACGCAGCGGGCUCACUUUGCUGGUCAUCAGAGCCUCCCAGAGCUGAAAGGGACCUUGGAUGCCCACGGUCAGACCCUCUCGUGCUACACAGAGACCGCACAAAAGGAGGUGACACCCCCAAAUCCACGCAGAGGGGACCCAUGCGCCAGUGCCAUUGCUUUCGCACCGAGGCUCAUUUUCUCUAGUGAAAGAGACACUCAGCUUGCCCAUGCCAACUCCUGUCUUCGUACCCGCGCGGUCCCUGCGUGGCCCGGCCCCGCCCCAUCCGGCAGCAAAGGUAGAUUGUCCUGAACCCGCUUAGAUUCUGGAAACUGGGCUACCGGCCCUCGUCCCUCACCACCUGGGCCUGUAAAUACACCCAGGAUGGGGAGCUCUGUGGGACUUGGCAUCCCCAUGAGGACAGAUCGUGACCUGCCACCUAGGCUUCCCAGAGAGCCCUCCUCCUGCCCUCUCGGCUGCUCCAAAUUCCUGCCCAAGCACGUCUUUACCCCUGCACGCCCUGGGAUUUGCUGGUUGUCGCAAACAGAGACGGGCUUUGGUGCCCAGGAAUGUCUGGGGAGCAGUGUUCUUCCUCGGGGCUGUUCUCAGGGUGCCGUGCACCCCAUAGCCC
This 1463-nucleotide long non-coding RNA is filed under the name Felis catus (domestic cat). RNAcentral describes it as "lncRNA (ENSFCAG00000049331.1)". The record is from RNAcentral. Lineage: Eukaryota; Metazoa; Chordata; Mammalia; Carnivora; Felidae.